CUCUUUGCUGGCGACCGGCGCACGGGUGAGUAACACGUAUCCAACCUGCCCUUUACUCGGGGAUAGCCUUUCGAAAGAAAGAUUAAUACCCGAUGGCAUAAUGAUUCCGCAUGGUUUCAUUAUUAAAGGAUUCCGGUAAAGGAUGGGGAUGCGUUCCAUUAGGUUGUUGGUGAGGUAACGGCCCACCAAGCCUUCGAUGGAUAGGGGUUCUGAGAGGAAGGUCCCCCACAUUGGAACUGAGACACGGUCCAA
This 252-nucleotide ribosomal RNA is filed under the name uncultured bacterium. RNAcentral describes it as "partial 16S ribosomal RNA". It matches the Rfam family "Bacterial small subunit ribosomal RNA", at positions 81 to 334 of the family's 1533-position model. The record is from RNAcentral.